AUUGAACGCUGGCGGCAGGCCUAACACAUGCAAGUCGAACGGUAACAGGAAGACGCUUGCUUCUUUGCUGACGAGUGGCGGACGGGUGAGUAAUGUCUGGGAAACUGCCUGAUGGAGGGGGAUAACUACUGGAAACGGUAGCUAAUACCGCAUAACGUCGCAAGACAAAAGAGGGGGACAUUCGGGCCUAUUGCCAUCGGAUGUGCCCCGCUGGGGUUUGCUUGUAGGUGGGGUAACGGCUCACCUAGGCGACGAUCCCUAGCCGGUCUGAGAGGAUGACCAGCCACACGGGAACUGAGACACGGUCCAGACUCCUACAGGAGGCAGCAGUGGGGAAUAUUGCACAAUGGGCGCAAGCCUAAUGCAGCCAUGCCGCGUGUAUGAAGAUGGCCUUCGGGUUGUAAAGUACUUUCAGCGGGGAGGAAGGGAGUAAAGGUAAUACCUGUGCUCAUUGACGUUACUCGCAGAAGAAGCAACGGCUAACUCCGUG
RNAcentral lists this ribosomal RNA (490 nucleotides) under uncultured bacterium. RNAcentral's name for it is "partial 16S ribosomal RNA". It matches the Rfam family "Bacterial small subunit ribosomal RNA", at positions 30 to 507 of the family's 1533-position model. The record is from RNAcentral.